AAUAUCCUUUUUCCGUGCAAGACGUUGCAACUCGGGGCAGAGACCACAGAAGUCCACAGUUACUCUGAGCAGUGACAAACAUGGCGAGAAGCUCGGAUUAUGGAGCUUUCAUGGAGAAAUUUGAGCUCAAACCUACUUCUUCAUCUCCUGAAUUUCCCUUAAAUGGUCUCACCUUUGCCGUUAAAGAUAUUUUCGAUGUGGAUGGAUUGGUGACUGGGUUUGGCAAUCCGGAUUGGGCGAGGACCCAUUCAGCUGCUACCUCUACUGCUCCGGCUGUUUUGGCUAUCUUGAGAGGAGGAGCUACAUGUGUUGGUAAAACAGUCAUGGAUGAAAUGGCAUAUAGCAUAAAUGGGGAAAAUAAACAUUAUGGCACACCUACGAAUCCUUGUGCACCAGAUCGUGUACCAGGGGGAUCUUCCAGUGGGUCUGCUGUUGCGGUAGGUGCAAAGCUUGUGGACUUCUCCUUAGGAACUGAUACAGGAGGAAGUGUGCGAGUUCCAGCAUCAUAUUGCAGUAUUUUGGGGUUUCGACCUUCACAUGGUGCUGUUUCUACUGCUGGAGUUAUUCCCAUGGCACAGAGUUUUGAUACUGUGGGAUGGUUUGCUAGGGAUCCAGUGAUUCUGAGUCAAGUUGGACGCAUUCUACUUCAAUUGCCUGAUGUAGAUCUGGCUAGACCAAGUCAGAUAAUUAUUGCAGAAGACUGUUUUCAGCUUUCAAGCAUUCCCAAUAAUCGAGUUAGUCAAGUUCUUGUUAAAUCAGUGGAGAAGUUAUUUGGAGGUGAUGUUGUGAAGCAUUUAAUCCUUGGGAACUAUGUUGAGGAGAAAGUUCCAAGUUUGAGCCAUUUUAUGAGUAGAGAAAUCCAAAAGCAAGACUACAAUAUAGCAUCCUUGGCUGCCCUCUCAAGUGCCAUGCGUUUGCUUCAAAGGUAUGAAUUCAAGAAUAACCAUGGUGAAUGGGUUACUACUGUGAAACCUGAUUUGGGUCCAGGAAUAUCGGAACGAGUGUGGGAAGCUAUUCAAACAACAGGAGAAAACAUUGAUGCUUGUUACUCUGUGAAGGCAGAAAUAAUUGCUGCGCUUACAGCUCUUCUUGAGGUACUCUCUCUUGCAGCUACUCCACAACCCAAAAUUCUUCAUCAAAAGAAUUUUAAUCUAGGUUACAAACUAUGCUUGUGGCACUUGAUUAAUAUUCUAUAUCUGGACAUUGUUUUUCUCCUACUAAGAUCAAGAAAAAUCAGUCUAUCAGGGCUUAAGCAGUUAAGACGCUUGAAGCACUUCACUUAUGCUAUGAAUAAUAUAGUAUUUAUUUGCGGAUUGAUAUACCUCUGGUGGGAGAAAUUAUAUAAUAUACUGGUGAUUCCAAAUAAGAUGGUCUACAUGGAAUAACAAGCCAAUAAAGAUAAAAAUGUAUAUGUGGGUCUUAUAAAAUAGUAACUUUCUAAUAGUAGGUCCAAUAAAAUAACCACUCAGUGGUAUGUUACACUUGUCUAUUUUAAUUGGAUAGUUAUUCCAUGUAGAAAUUCUACAUGGAAUAGCAGAGAUAGCAUAUAAUUUCUUCCCCACUGUGAUACUUAUUCUGCCAUGAACUCUUCUCGAACCAAUUCAAUUCAGAACCUGCUAAGUAAAAUGCUGGUGAAACAUCUGGCAUAUUUGAUUUAUUCAUUAUUUUUAAAGUGCUUGUCUAAUAAGAUAAGAGCAGGAUUCUAGUAUCCUGGCUAUCCCGACAGUACCAGGACCUCCACCAAAAUUAAACACAGACCCAACUACUCUGGAAGUUUUUCGUGCCAAGGCUUUUAGCUUGCUCUCCAUUGCUGGAGUAUCAGGAUGCUGCCAGGUGAGCAUACCGCUAGGCAUGUAUGAUGAUCUACCUGUAGCUAUUUCAUUGUUGGCGAAACAUGGUUCAGAUGGUUUCCUGCUCAAUGUUGUUGAAACUCUUUACGACACUCUCCAAGAACAGGUUGCAAUUUCUGAAAGAUAGCUUGCUGAAUCCAGAUGUCCUGAUCAUACUUCAAAAAAUGGUCAGAGAUUCAGUCCUCAGUUAAUUGUUUCAUGCCAACAUUUUUUGUUGAAAGUUCAAAAAGUUAUGUAUAUGUAAUUUCAACUACCUUACUUUCUUUUAUUGCAUUAAUUGACUAAAUAAUGCACAACCAUACUCUUCAACCUCCA
Molecule: RNA transcript, 2165 nt
Organism: Manihot esculenta (cassava)
Lineage: Eukaryota; Viridiplantae; Streptophyta; Magnoliopsida; Malpighiales; Euphorbiaceae
Gene name: amidase 1
Exons: 8
Source: RefSeq, a predicted model, not a curated record